AGAGUUUGAUCCUGGCUCAGGAUGAACGCUAGCGGCAGGCUUAAUACAUGCAAGUCGAGGGGCAGCACGUCUUCGGAUGGUGGCGACCGGCGCACGGGUGCGUAACACGUAUGCAACCUACCUUUAACUGGGGAAUAGCCCCGAGAAAUCGGGAUUAAUACCCCAUAAUAUUCAUUUUUCGCAUGAUUUAUGAAUUAAAACUCCGGUGGUUAAAGAUGGGCAUGCGCGACAUUAGUUAGUUGGUGAGGUAACGGCUCACCAAGACAGCGAUGUCUAGGGGUUCUGAGAGGAAUAUCCCCCACACUGGUACUGAGACACGGACCAGACUCCUACGGGAGGCAGCAGUAAGGAAUAUUGGUCAAUGGGCGAAAGCCUGAACCAGCCAUGCCGCGUGCAGGAUGAAGGCCCUAUGGGUUGUAAACUGCUUUUAUAUAGGAAGAAACUCCCGUACGUGUACGGGACUGACGGUACUAUACGAAUAAGGACCGGCUAACUCCGUGCCAGCAGCCGCGGUAAUACGGAGGGUCCAAGCGUUAUCCGGAUUUAUUGGGUUUAAAGGGUGCGCAGGCGGACCGAUAAGUCAGUGGUGAAAUCCUACAGCUCAACUGUAGAACUGCCAUUGAUACUGUCGAUCUUGAGUACGGUUGAAGUAGGCGGAAUGUAUCAUGUAGCGGUGAAAUGCAUAGAUAUGAUACAGAACUCCGAUAGCGAAGGCAGCUUACUAGGCCGUAACUGACGCUCAGGCACGAAAGCGUGGGGAGCAAACAGGAUUAGAUACCCUGGUAGUCCACGCCGUAAACGAUGAUCACUCGUUGUUGGCAAUACACAGUCAGCGACUGAACGAAGCAUUAAGUGAUCCACCUGGGAAGUACGAUCGCAAGGUUGAAACUCAAAGGAAUUGACGGGGGCCCGCACAAGCGGAGGAGCAUGUGGUUUAAUUCGAUGAUACGCGAGGAACCUUACCUGGGCUUAAAUGUAUAAUGACCGGCUGGGAAACCAGUCUUCUCUUCGGAGCAUUUUACAAGGUGCUGCAUGGUUGUCGUCAGCUCGUGCCGUGAGGUGUCGGGUUAAGUCCCAUAACGAGCGCAACCCCUAUUCUUAGUUGCCAUCAGAUAAUGCUGGGGACUCUAAGGAAACUGCCUACGCAAGUAGUGAGGAAGGUGGGGAUGACGUCAAAUCAGCACGGCCCUUAUGUCCAGGGCUACACACGUGCUACAAUGGUCGGUG
RNAcentral lists this ribosomal RNA (1227 nucleotides) under metagenome. RNAcentral's name for it is "bacterial SSU rRNA". It matches the Rfam family "Bacterial small subunit ribosomal RNA", at positions 8 to 1239 of the family's 1533-position model. The record is from RNAcentral.